GGAGAGAUGGCCGAGCGGUUUAAGGCGCACGCUUGGAAAGCGUGUAAAUAUGAAAGUGUUUCAAGGGUUCGAAUCCCUUUCUCUCCG
Molecule: transfer RNA, 87 nt
Filed under: SAR324 cluster bacterium
Lineage: Bacteria; Deltaproteobacteria
Description: tRNA-Ser
Rfam family: tRNA
About the family: Transfer RNA (tRNA) molecules are approximately 80 nucleotides in length. Their secondary structure includes four short double-helical elements and three loops (D, anti-codon, and T loops).
Source: RNAcentral